CCUACGGGAGGCAGCAGUGGGGAAUAUUGCACAAUGGGGGAAACCCUGAUGCAGCGACGCCGCGUGAGUGAAGAAGUAUCUCGGUACGUAAAGCUCUAUCAGCAGGGAAGAAAAUGACGGUACCUGACUAAGAAGCCCCGGCUAACUACGUGCCAGCAGCCGCGGGAAUACGUAGGGGGCAAGCGUUAUCCGGAUUUACUGGGGGUAAAGGGAGCGUAGACGGCAGCACAAGUCUGGAGUGAAAUCCCGGGGCUUAACCCCGGAACUGCUUUGGAAACUGUGCGGCUGGAGUGCAGGAGGGGUAAGCGGAAUGCCUAGUGUAGCGGUGAAAUGCGUAGAUAUUAGGAGGAACACCGAUGGCGAAGGCAGCAUACUGGACUGUAACUGACGUUGAGGCUCGAAAGCGUGGGGAGCGAACAGGAUUAGAUACCCUAGUAGUC
RNAcentral lists this ribosomal RNA (440 nucleotides) under uncultured bacterium. RNAcentral's name for it is "partial 16S ribosomal RNA". It matches the Rfam family "Bacterial small subunit ribosomal RNA", at positions 338 to 795 of the family's 1533-position model. The record is from RNAcentral.